UACGAAGGGUGCAAACGUUGCUCGGAAUUAUUGGGCGUAAAGCGCACGUAGGCGGCUUAGCAAGUCGGAAGUGAAAUCCCUCGGCUCAACCAAGGAAGUGCUUUCGAAAUGCUGAGCUUGAGUACUUAAGAGGAUCGCGGAAUUCCCGGUGUAGAGGUGAAAUUCGUAGAUGUCGGGAGGAACACCAGUGGCGAAGGCGGCGAUCUGGGAAGAUACUGACGCUGAGGUGCGAAAGCGUGGGGAGCAAACAGG
RNAcentral lists this ribosomal RNA (252 nucleotides) under uncultured bacterium. RNAcentral's name for it is "partial 16S ribosomal RNA". It matches the Rfam family "Bacterial small subunit ribosomal RNA", at positions 524 to 776 of the family's 1533-position model. The record is from RNAcentral.